RNAcentral lists this long non-coding RNA (2810 nucleotides) under Homo sapiens (human). RNAcentral's name for it is "HSALNT0269386". The stretch from base 960 to 1076 matches the Rfam family "Metazoan signal recognition particle RNA". Lineage: Eukaryota; Metazoa; Chordata; Mammalia; Primates; Hominidae. The record is from RNAcentral.
GGGAGGGAGAGAAGGGCCGUCGGGAUGAGGCUGUUUCCUUCCAAUAGAACCCCAUGCGGAAUAUUGAGAGCCGGAGCCAAGCAGAUCGUUCUGUUCCAUGAGCUCGGGGAUAAGCACGUGACCCAGUCUAACCCAAAGACUCACAAGGAGACUGACACUGGGAUCCCCGGAAGGUUCUUGCUGCUUCCUUCUUCUGGAAUCAGGAAGCCCAUGUGGCCCUGGAGCUCCUGGCCGCCAUCUUGUGAGAUGGGAAAAUGUGGGGCCAAUACAGAGGAGAGAGAAACCUCAUCCUUUUGUUCAGCUAGAGCCCUGCAUCCAGCUUUCCCUAAAGCCAGAUUUGAUUCACCUCUGGCUUAUGAUUCUGUCACGUAAGUCAUUAAUUCUUUCCUUCAAUUAGGUUUUUGGACCCAUGCAGCCAAAAUAGGCCUGUUGGAUCUAUGAGUGAAUGAAUGGAUGGACGGAUGAAGAACUAAGCUCCAGUUCAAGCCAAUGAGGAUGUUCAGUGCCUGCCACACAUCCACUCCAUCCCUCCUGAUUCCCAGCCUCCUGCCACUUCUCUGCCUCCUCCCUGCUCCUAUAACACACAGGUUCCUGAUCUCCCAGUGCAGACUCAAACAUCCCGUCCCCCAGAGUCCAGCCUCCCCCAACAGCAACUUAGCACAAUGCUCUCACAAACAAAAACAAUUUUCUCUCUAAUAGAGAUCCUAGGGGCCAUUGUUAAGGUUGUACUUUUUUUUUUUUUUCACUCUACUACAAAAGUUAAAACUAUUUCAGCUGCCAUUUAGGGAGCCCUACCUAUCAUACACCAAACAUUGCUCUGGGCCAGUAUUGCAGAUGGCGAAACUGAGGCUUGAAGAAGUUAAGUAACUCGCCCAAGAUCACACAACUUGAUCAUGGGCAGAAGAUCCAAAACCCCAAUGCCCAGAAUCUAUUUUUCCAUUUGAAAGACAAGUCCUCAGGCCGGGCGGGGUGGCUCACGCCUGUAAUCCCAGCACUUUGGGAGGCCGAGGCGGGCGGAUCACCUGAGGUCGGGAGUUCAAGACCAGCCUGACCAACAUGGAGAAACCCCGUCUUUAAUUUUGUAUUUGUAAAAAAUACAAAAUUACCCAGGCAUGGUGGCGCAUGCCUGUAAUCCCAGCUACUCGGGAGGCUGAGGCAGGAGAAUCGCUUGAACCCGGGAGGCGGAGGUUGUGGUGAGUCGAGAUCGCACCAUUGCACUCCAGCCUGGCUGACAAGAACGAAACUCUUGUCUCAAAAAAAAAAAAAGAAAAGAAAAGAAAGACAAGUCCUCACAUGGUGGCUUCUUGAUGGAGGACAGGGCGGGGCCCUUCCUGAGGCCAUGCUGUCCAGGGAAAUGUUCUACUCUGCUGGAAAUGUCCUCCAGCAGCACUGUCCGACAGGGGUGUCACUGUGGCUCUUGAGCACUUGCACUAUGACUAGUGUGACCAAAGAUCUGAACAUUUUAAAGUUUAUUUUUAUUAAUUUUAAUUUAGAUUUCAAUUACCACACGUGGCUAGUGGCUACCAAAUUGGGCAAUCCCACUUUACAAACUAUAUGUUGAUCUGAAUUAAGACUGAGCUUUGGCUGGGCAUGGUGCCUCAUGCCUGUAAUACCAGCACUUUGGGAGGCCGAGGCGGGCAGAUCGCCUGAGGUCAGGGGUUUGAGGCCAGCCUGGGCAACAUGGCGAAACCCCGACUCUACUAAAAAUACAAAAAUUAGCUGGGCGUGGUAGCAGGUGCCUGUAAUUCCAGCUACUCAGGAGGCUGAGGCAGGAGAAUCCUUGAAACCGAAGGUGGAAACUGCAGUGAGCCGAGAUCGCACCACUGCACUCCAGCCUAGGCAACAAGAGCGAAACUCCAUCUCAAAAAAAAAAAAAAGAAGAAGAAGACUGAGAUUUGCAUAGGGAAAAUAGAAACCUCAGUGUCUUGAGGAAGAAGGGGUCAAUCCCAGUCCCUCAUCAGAUCCAGUCGUGGUAGAGUGACGGCUCAUCUCUGGAAGCUCAACCUCCAUGUUUCCUCCCAGGACCUCACUCUACUCCUGGAGGGAGCCAUGCUCUGUCCUGCCUGGCCCAGGCUGGGCUCUCUGUCUAGAGGAGUCUCCAUCCUCUCUCCCCAGCCCAUUGACCUGGCUAACUCCUACUCAUCCUCAAGGUCUCAGCUGACAAAUUACUCUCACCAGGAAGCUGUCUCUGUCCCCUUGGCUGGGUCCACAGAGCACACCACCCUCUCUUUUGUAACACUCAGCACAAUUGUAACUAACAAUGUGUGAGCUGCUUGCACAGUGGCCAUCUCCUCUGCUUUCCUUGGGGACAGGCACAUACAUGUCUGCCUUGUCCAUCUCUGUAUCCUGAGCACCUAGCUCAGAGCUUAAUGCAUAUUAGAUUCUCAAGAAAUAUUUGUCUAAUGAAUGAAUCAGUCAAUUGAGCCAAAAAAUGGAAAUGCCAAAAGUUAAAUUCUCUGUAGUUCUUCUUGGACCUAGAUCAUGGGAAGAUAAAGUUUUUCUUUAAAGGACCAGAUACAGUGGUUCACACCUGUAAUCCCAGCACUUUGGGAAUCCGAGGCGGGUGGAUCACGAGGUCAGGAAAUCAAGACCAUCCUGGCUAACACGGUGAAACCCCAUCUCUAUCAAAAUACAAAAAAAUUAGCCAGGCACGGUGGCGGGCGCCUGUAGUCCCAGCAACUUGGAAGGCUGAGGCAGCAGAACGGCGUGAACCCGGGAGGCGGAGCUUGCAGUGAGCCGAAAUCGCACCACUGCACUCCAGCUUGGGCAACAGAGCGAGACUCCGUCUCAAAAAAAUAAAAAUAAAGUAC